AUGGCGGAGGUGAGCGCCGGGACGGGGGCGAUGGGCUCCCUCCUCGGCAAGCUUACCGCCUUGCUCAGCGACGAGUACAAUCUUCUCAACCGGGUCCGCAAGGAGAUCCAGUUCCUUGAGCGCGAGCUCAGCAGCAUGCGAGUCUUGCUGGAGAGGCUGGCAGACAUGGAGGAGAAACUCGAUGGCCUUGCAAAGGGCUGGAGAGAUAGAGUGCGCGACCUCAGCUACGACAUAGAAGACUGCAUCGACCGCUUCAUGGACCGCCUUGGAAGCGGAGAUGCCAAACCAAAGUUCAUGAAGAGGACGGUGCGCCGGCUCAAGACUCUGUGGGCGCGCCAUGACAUCGCGACCCAGAUCAAAGAGCUCAGAGCUCGCGUCAUGGAGGAAAGCGAGCGCCGUGACAGGUACAAGCUUGAUGAGAGUUACUACAGUGCAACGAAGACGGUGGAGAUAGACCCACGGAUAAUUGCGAUCCACGAGGAGGUCAAGGGCUUGGUGGCAAUGGACGGCCCAAUGAAGCACGUCAUUGCCUUGCUGAUGGAUGAGAGUACAGAGUUGAAAGUGGUGCCGAUUGUCGGAUCAGGAGGGUUGGGGAAGACAACCCUGGCCAUGGAGGUCUAUCGCAAGAUUGGAUCAGGAGGGGACUUCCAGUGCCAAGCUUGCGUGUCAGUGUCGCGCACACUUGAUCUGGUGAAGCUCCUGAAAGAUAUCUUGUCUCAGACCGAUAAAGAUGCGUACAAAGAAUGUCAGAGUUGGGAAAAGGAACAGUUAAUCCGUGAAAUCAAACAUAUCUUGACAGGAAAGAGGUACUUCAUUGUUAUUGAUGAUGUAUGGAAAGAACAAGAUUGGAAGUUGGUCAAGGCAGCAUUUCCUGACAAUAACAAUGGUAGUAGAAUAAUUGCUACUACACGCAUUGCCGGCGUAGCUAAUUUAUGUUGUUCCAUAUCCGAUGAGCAACCCUACCAAAUGGCACCUCUAGAUGAUGUUGAUUCUCGAAGAUUGUUCUUUCAGAGAAUUUUGUACUCAAAUGAUUCAUGUCCUUCUGAACUGGAAGAAGUUUCUACUAGGAUUUUAAAAAAAUGUGGAGGACUGCCACUGGCUAUAAUUACAUUUGCAAGUUUGCUUGCCAGUAAGACACAUAACAAGGAUGAAUGGGAGAGACUGCAAGAUUCCAUCGGUACUGGUUCUUCGUUUGAUAAUGAUGGGAACUUAAAAGGGAUGAAAGAUAUAUUGUUACAUAGUUACCUGGAUCUUCCCCACCACCUGAAGGCUUGUUUACUGUACUUGUGUAUAUAUCCAGAGGACUCCAUGAUAAAUAUUAAAGUGCUCAAAUGGAAAUGGAUAGCAGAAGGAUUCAUUGCUGCACAAUGGGGAAGUUUGGAUCAAGUAGCAGAGAACUGUUUUAAUGAGCUCGUUAAUAGAAAUAUGAUCCAGCCAGUGUAUGGUAAUUAUGACAGUUCGGUGAAAUAUUGUAGGGUCCAUGAUAUGGUGCUUGACCUUAUUAUAUCUUUAUCGGAUGAAGAGAAUUUUGCCACUGUCUUAAAUGGGCGUAUAUGCAAUUCUUUCCCAAAUAAGAUACGUCGUCUGUCCAUGCAAUCUAGUGGCAAAGAGCAUAAAGGUGCAGUUGGGGCAAUUAGAGAGACCAAGAUGCAUAUUCGCUCAUUGACUGUGUUUGAGCUGCAUAAGCCGAUAGUACCCCAUCUUGUGGACUUCCAUGCUUUGCGGGUGUUGGAUCUUGGAGAUUGUAUUUGGUUGGAAAACAAGCAUGUAAAAGACAUAGGAAGUUCACGUCAGCUAAGGUAUUUGCGAAUUGGCCAUUCUAUGAUUACUGAGCUUCCUUGUGAAAUUGGAAAGCUGCAGCACUUGGAGACUCUCGAUUUGCUAUACUGUAAUUCACUUCCAAGACUGCCAUCAACGGUGACGCAGUUGCGGAAAUUGGUGCGCCUAUUUGUCAGCGAUUACACACAAUUACAUGCAAGUGGGUUCCGGAGUCUGCAAGCCUUGGAGGAGUUAGGCUUCGUGGAAACUGACGACCCAGUGAGAUUUUCGGAGGAAGUAAAUGAGUCGGGCAAAUGCAACCUUCGCUCUCUUCGUACUGGUGGAGAGAUAGCCGAGCGUCUGUUCUGUAACUCAUGCUGCACAUACCCGUGCCUCCAAGUUCUUAAAAUUCACUCAGGUAUUGGAAUGGUUCCCAGGGGAAUGACCUCCCUCGAGAAUCUCAUGACACUACUCAUACAGGUCACGGAAUUUGAUAAUGAGGGUCUCCAAGUUCUCAUGGGCAUGCCUUCUCUUGCCCAUCUGGAUCUUGAGAUAAGAAGAGGGGCCAUUAAUGAAAAUCUGAUCAUCGGUAGUGAUGGAUUCAAACUGCUAAAGGUCUUCCGCUUCCGCUAUUCACCCUUGCGUCCUGUUGUUGAAGUGAAACCAACGGGUGGACUGCGGCUAACAUUUGCACCAGGUGCUAUGCAAGCACUCCAUUGUCUCCGUCUUGAAUUGAACCCAAUGUGGAUCGUGUCUGACUUUUUUGCAGACUUGGGUGUCGAGCAUCUUCCAGGCCUUGCACAGCUCGAGGUGAAAAUCAAUUGUUACGAAGCAGCUCCAGGCAGGGUGAAGGCUCUGGAGUGUUCCAUUGAAAAAGCAACCAACUUGCUCCCCAAGUGCAGAAUCCAUGUCAGCAGAACCUUUGAAAAUUACAUGUUUAAGGAUGACAAGGAGUGGGAAGAUGUCGUCGCAAAAGAAUCUCUGGUGAGGAAAGGAGACGAGAAGAAUGAGAGAGUGACCACCAAGAACUAG
This 2790-nucleotide ribosomal RNA is filed under the name Triticum aestivum (bread wheat). RNAcentral describes it as "partial small subunit ribosomal RNA". Lineage: Eukaryota; Viridiplantae; Streptophyta; Magnoliopsida; Poales; Poaceae. The record is from RNAcentral.